GCUGGGAUAGCUCAGUUGGUAGAACAUGAGAUUCUUAAUCUCAGGUUUGUGGGUUCGAACCUCAUGUUUGGCA
This is a non-coding RNA of Podarcis lilfordi (Lilford's wall lizard), 73 nucleotides long. The record is from the annotation of a GenBank genome assembly. Lineage: Eukaryota; Metazoa; Chordata; Lepidosauria; Squamata; Lacertidae.